GGCCAGUGUGUAUACAUAUAUUUGUUACAAACAACAAUAAUCUUGUGAGUGCAACAAUGGAUGAGUUACGUCGCACGGCUGAACCGAAAAAAGGUUAAAUUUGACGCGCCGACGAACGAAUCGUUCGUUGCAAUGGAAUUCAACCCGAAAAGGAAGGAUUCUCCGUCAAUUCGGCCACUUUUUUUUCGACCAUCUCAGAUCUGCCCCAUAAUUGGUUACAUCAAAGUACUACUAGAAGGAUAAUCCGUCAUAACCGUUGGACGGACGCAAUGUCACAUGCCGCGAGGAUAUCUUCAUGGAAUGGUGAACUAUGUUCAAAUGACAUUAUUUCGCAAUGGAUGUUAGAAACUCCCAUCAACCGGGAGAAGGAAACUGUUUCGCACAACCCGCAGCUUCAUAGUUACCUCGAAUCUCAGAUACUAAUUCCUUGCAUUUAAUAUUUCAGAGGGUAUAAAAAUAAUCC
Neodiprion fabricii is the source of this 463-nucleotide long non-coding RNA. RefSeq lists it as uncharacterized. The transcript is spliced from 3 exons. Lineage: Eukaryota; Metazoa; Arthropoda; Insecta; Hymenoptera; Diprionidae. The record is from RefSeq and is a predicted model, not a curated record.